Molecule: long non-coding RNA, 1600 nt
Filed under: Heterocephalus glaber (naked mole-rat)
Lineage: Eukaryota; Metazoa; Chordata; Mammalia; Rodentia; Bathyergidae
Description: lncRNA (ENSHGLG00100047240.1)
Source: RNAcentral
CAUCCUUGCCCGGGCUGGGACCUUGGGGCCUGCUUGCUGUUUCCUCUCUGGCCUGCAGUUUACAGAGUGUCUUUGGCCAGCACAGUACUGGCUGCCGAACAGGAAUGGCAGCAAAAAAGCCCCAAACAAACAAAACUCCACAGAACUGCCCAGCCCUGCCUCCUUCUCCCUCUCCUUAUUUGCCUUUUGUCCCUUUCCCUGUCCUAGCUCCACCCAUGACUCUCUCCACCUCUUGGGGGUCGUCUGAUCCAGGCCACUGACUCUGACCAGGGCUCCUUUCCCCUAGCCAGGAGGAUCCCUACCCUCACUGAGCACUGGAUGAGACCUUCUCCCGGCCUCGGACAGUGAGAUUUGCACCCAGAUCUUCUGCCGUAGAAUCGAGUGUCCCGCCCAGGGUGACAGGAAAUGAAUACACUCAGUCCGCAAGUGGCUGAUGGAGGAAGUGACCAGAGGACUCAGCCUCCACUCUGCUCCCUGUGGCCUCCCUGUCUGAUGGUGCAGUCAAAGAAGCUGGAAGCUCUACCCAUUCUUCAGACAAGAAGGUCCUGGCUACUGACCAAUUUGCUGCCAGCUGGAAAGAUGACAUCAACUUGAAUGAUCAGAACAGAUAGUUCUCAUUGAACAGAACAAUUUUCUUUCUAUUGAAGAAAAUUUAAUGGGACAUAAAAAAAAUUUAGUGGGACAACUAAUAUAGAACUUAAAACAAUCUACAAGAACAAAAGUACUUCUAUGAGAAUUCAACAACGUAUUUCUAAAGAUUAUCUGAGAAUAAAAAUUAUUUGACAGCCAGGGAUUUAGCUCAGUGAUUCUGCUGCCUGCCUCACAAGUGCAAGGUCCCAAGUUCAAUCCCCGGUACAAAAAUAAAACGAAACAAAACAAAAAUAAUUUGGCAAUUUAUAAAUAUUCCAAAUUGAAAAUCCAGUAGAUGAAGUCAAAAGUAGAAUAAAUAAUUCUGGGCCAUAGAGGAAGUCAUUUAGGAGAUUAAAUGGAGGAAUUAUCUUGUAAUAUUGGACAAAAGCAUAAAGAAAUUGAAAUUAUGUGUGAAAUGGUAAGAUCAAGGCUGUCAAAGUUAGAUCUUGUAUCUGAAUAUUUGUUCCAAAAGAAGAGAAAGGAAUAUAAGGAAUAAAACCAAUAAAGAAAGAAACAAUAGAAGAAAACUUGUGACUUAAAGAAAUACUUGAGUAUUAAGAUCAAAAGGAAGCUGGGCUGGUGGUGCAUACCUGUAAUCCUAGCACUUGGGAGACAGAGGCAGGAGGAUUACUGCACAUUCAAGGCUAGCCUGGGCUACAUAGUGUGUUCAAGGACAGCCUGAACUACAAAGUGAAACCUUGUCUCAAAAAACAAAACAAAAAAAGAUCAAAAGCAUUCUUUGAAUGUCUAGCAAGAUUAAUAAAAAUAAUAUCUAUCUAAUUAUACUCUGCUGCAAUUUAAAAUAAAAAAGUGAAAAUUCUAAACAAAUCCAGACAUAAAAAACAACCAGAAACAAAAUUAGUUAUCUGAAAAGAAAAAAAUAAUCAGAAUGUCACUGGAUGUAUCUUCUGCAACUUGGAAAACUCAAGAACCAUGAAACAAUACUCAUAAUUUCUGAUCUAAGAUUCUA